Molecule: ribosomal RNA, 274 nt
Filed under: uncultured bacterium
Lineage: Bacteria
Description: partial 16S ribosomal RNA
Rfam family: Bacterial small subunit ribosomal RNA
Source: RNAcentral
AUACGAACCGCACGAACGUUAUUCGGAAUCACUGGGCUUAAAGGGUGCGUAGGCGGUCCGGUAAGUUGGGUGUGAAAGCCCUCGGCUCAACCGAGGAAUUGCGCCCAAAACUACCGGACUUGAGGAAGCCAGAGGUGAGCGGAACUUGCGGUGGAGCGGUGAAAUGCGUUGAUAUCGCAAGGAACACCAGUGGCGAAAGCGGCUCACUGGGUCUUUUCUGACGCUGAGGCACGAAAGCUAGGGGAGCGAACGGUAUUAGAUACCCCAGUAGUCC